RNAcentral lists this transfer RNA (73 nucleotides) under Chitinophagaceae bacterium. RNAcentral's name for it is "tRNA-Sec". The record is from RNAcentral. Lineage: Bacteria; Pseudomonadati; Bacteroidota; Chitinophagia; Chitinophagales; Chitinophagaceae.
CGGGGCGUAGCGUAGCCCGGUAUCGCGUCACGCUUCAGGCGUGAAGGCCGCAGGUUCAAAUCUGAGGUCACUA